Acanthosepion pharaonis is the source of this 111-nucleotide non-coding RNA. The record is from the annotation of a GenBank genome assembly. Lineage: Eukaryota; Metazoa; Mollusca; Cephalopoda; Sepiida; Sepiidae.
UUACGGCUAUAUCACGUUGAAACACUGCUUCCCAUAUGAUCACCGAAGUUAAGCAACGUCGAGCCUGGUCAGUACCUAGAUAAGUGACCGCUGGGGAAUACCAGGUGCUAU